UACGGAGGGGGCUAGCGUUGUUCGGAAUUACUGGGCGUAAAGCGCACGUAGGCGGCUUUGUAAGUUAGAGGUGAAAGCCCAGGGCUUAACCCUGGAAUUGCCUUUAAGACUGCAUCGCUAGAAUCGUGGAGAGGUAAGUGGAAUUCCGAGUGCAGAGGUGAAAUUCGUAGAUAUUCGGAAGAACACCAGUGGCGAAGGCGACUUACUGGACACGUAUUGACGCUGAGGUGCGAAAGCGUGGGGAGCAAACAGG
RNAcentral lists this ribosomal RNA (253 nucleotides) under uncultured bacterium. RNAcentral describes it as "partial 16S ribosomal RNA". It matches the Rfam family "Bacterial small subunit ribosomal RNA", at positions 524 to 776 of the family's 1533-position model. The record is from RNAcentral.